GUGAAAACCACCAAAUUGCAUUGUUUUCUGCCUCUUCUGUUCCAGCUGGUCCAUCUCCCAUCCAAUGCAACUCCAGACCUGUAAUGACUCCAAAAAGACUAGAAAGACUCGAUAAAGACUUGAAAACCAAUUUAAAAGCAUAUAUACAAGAUGUAUAAAACACCAUAUAUCAAACGGGUGCAAAGUAAUUUUCACCACUCGUUCUCUGGAAGUGUGUGGGCGCAUGGAAGCUGGUGUUAAGAUGGUAGUCCAGUGUUUGCCACCUCAUGAUGCAUUGGAGUUGUUCAAAAAGAAAGUUGGAGAGAUCACGUUAGGAAGUCAUCCAAACAUACCAGAGCUUGCUAGAAUAGUUGCUAGAAAAUGCCAUGGCCUACCGUUAGCACUUAGUGUGAUUGGCGAAACCAUGGCAAGCAAACGGACGAUUCAAGAAUGGGAGCACGGCCAUUGAUGAUUUGACUUCGUAUGCUGCUGACUUCUCCGGCAUGGAAGAUGAGAUUCUUCUGAUUCUGAAAUUUAGUUACGAUAACCUAAAGGGUGAGCAUAUCAAAUCGUGUUUCCUAUAUUGCGCCUUAUUUCCAGAAGAUUUUAUAAUUUACAUGGGUGACUUGAUAAGUUACUGGAUUUGUGAGGUGUUCAGAGAUGAAAGCAAAGGUAUGGAAAGGGCUGAAAACAAGGCUUAUGAGAUAAUGGGUAGCCUUAUCUGUUCAUCUUUAUUGAUACAGCAUGAAGAAAGAUCGAAUUUCGUGUACCUUCAUGACGUGGUUCGUGAAAUGGCCUUGUGGAUCGCAUCUGACUUUGGAAAGCAAAAAGAUAAUUUCAUCGUGCAUGCAUGCGUUGGGUUAGAGGAAAUACCCAAGGUUCAGAACUGGAACAUUGUAAAGAGAAUGUCUUUGAUGUUUAAUAAAGAUCAAACAUGUAUCUGGCAGCCUGAAUUGUCCUUAACUCACAGCUUUGUUGCUGCAGCACAACAAGACACUGGUAAGUAUCUCAGGCAUUUUCUUCUUGAACAUGCCAAGAGUCGUUGUUUUGGAUCUAUCGGGUAAUGAAAAUCUCUGCGAGUUGCCAGACCAAGUAUCACAGUUGGUUUCACUGAAACUUCUAACCUUGUACAAGUCAGCUAUACAAUGUCUGCCUGUUGGCUUAAGAGAGUUGAAAAACUAAUUCAUUUGAAUUUGGAAAGCACAUGGAAACUUUCGAGUGUUGGGGGAUAUCGGCACUACUGAAUCUGAGAGUAGUGAAAUUACUGAAUUCGAAAGUUUCAAACAAUCGCAACACUGUGGAAGAGUUGCGAGUCUUUGAACAUUUAGAAGUUGUAACCAUAAGUAUCGGUUAUGAUUCAGGUCUGGAUCAAUUUUUAAGCUCUCACAACCAGAUGCGUUGUACACGAUCUCUAGGGGUAGAAGGUUUGCAAUUGGAUUCGUCAAAGGUGUUGGUUUUAGCAAGUAUGAAGAAAAUUUCUGAAGUCAGACUCAACGGAUGCACUUUUUGUGAGAAAAAGAUGGAUAGUGCAACAAUCAUCGGAAGCAAUAAGAUGGUUCCUCCAAAUGCAUGCUUUUUGAGCCUGUCUAGGAUUUAUCUAAAGUAUAGCAAAUUCCUUAAAGAUUUGACGUGGCUGAUGUUCGCUCCAAAUCUCGCGGAACUUUCAGUUCAUGGGGGAGAUGAACUAGAAGACGUAAUACAAAAGGAGGAGGCUUUAGUAUCUUAAGAAUCAGGGGUUGUUCCUUUCCAAACACUAGCCUUUCUAGAAUUGAUUGAUUUGCUGGAGCUGAAGGACAUCUACUGGAGACCUCUGCUCUUUCCUUGUCUUGCGGAAAUCAAUAUAACGAGAUGCCCAAAACUGAGAAAGCUUCCACUUAAUUCUAAAAGCGGUGGAAAAGGACUGUCAUAUACUACAAAGGUAGAGAAUGGUUAGAAAAUGUUGAAUGGGAAGACGAAGCCACCGAAGCCCGUUUCCUGCCUUCAUACAUUGAGGAUACAAUCUAGUCGGACUCAGUACAAUGGCUCGUGAGGUAGGCGGAUUUGCAGUUCCUAUUGUCGUUUUUCCAUAUCGAAGAUUUUAGAUUAUGGGUUGUCUGCUCAGUUAUCAGGAGGAUCAGCAGGAGAAGCUCUGUCUAUGGUGUUGACAAGUACCGUUCGUUGUCUCCUUCUGAUCUUGACGCCUAAGAUGAAAUUUCUGUCUUCCUUGUAUCAACUCAUGUCUGUUCGUGCUGGAUUUACUUGUUCAUGGUGUUAUUUUUCUUUUAGAAUUUUAUUGGUUUUGGGAACUGAUAUAGUUCGUUAUGACUACAAAGAUGAAGCCUAUAGCUGCUUCCUCUGGUUAUUCUGUUAUAUCUGGUUGGCUUGACUGGUACGCAAAAUUGAAGAUCUUAAGUCGUGUUUGAUUUGUAUGCAAAGUUACCUAUUCUCCCAUA
Long non-coding RNA from Brassica napus (rape), 2411 nucleotides. RefSeq lists it as uncharacterized. The record is from RefSeq and is a predicted model, not a curated record. The transcript is spliced from 3 exons. NCBI's taxonomy places the organism in Eukaryota, Viridiplantae, Streptophyta, Magnoliopsida, Brassicales, Brassicaceae.